RNAcentral lists this long non-coding RNA (399 nucleotides) under Eucalyptus grandis. RNAcentral's name for it is "long non-coding RNA (EGRA_LNC003089)". The record is from RNAcentral. Lineage: Eukaryota; Viridiplantae; Streptophyta; Magnoliopsida; Myrtales; Myrtaceae.
UUCAUGCACUUAAAAACCAUAGGGCCUGCAUAAGCACAUCAAUCUUAAUCCAACAAUAAGAUAAUCGCUUAGAGUUAUUGAACCCUAUUCUAUACAAAUCCAUCCAGGUACAGGUUGCAAGGCACUUUAGUAAAUCACUAGCCCUUUUAGUGUGCAGAUUCCUAACACGGCCUAUUUACAAGUAAAGGAAAAACAGUUAUAUCACCUCCAUAAGGGAACUUUGUUAGCAGCUCUGUUUUAGCAACUCUCUGCAGCCAAAAUAAAUGAAAGAGAAAUCAAUAAGAUCGAAAUCUAACAUAGUGCUCAUUAUUCUUCAAGCUGAUGUGAAGCAUAUGUCAUCUAUAUAUUAAGCAGUUGAAUCCAGCUUAUAGAUUUGGCAUUGCACUCAGAAAGCAUUUA